CGGAAGUAGGGAAAAUAUUUUCCGGUGAAAGCGCUAGCCGAACAAUGGCGGAGUCCAAAAGUAGUCAGUCGUGUAGUGUACCUUUGUGUUCUAAUUCAAAGAAAAAGCAACCUCACUUAUCAUUUCAUAGUUUUCCCAUCGACGAAAACUUAAGAAAGCGUUGGAUUUUGGCCAUACGGAGAAAAGAUGGGGCGGCAUUUACUGUGAGGAAAGGUAGCACUUUUGUGCUAACUGUUAAGCACUUCACGGAGGAUGAGGUCCGUGUCCAUCCAGAGUCCGGUCGUAAGGCUGUGCCUUCCAGGUUUGCGUGGAACAGUUGGGGAGAAGUUCAAUCACGCUAGACUCGGACAUCAAAAAGAGGUGUUCGUGGUGCAGAGAAAGCAGUAACGUUGGAUGUCGAAAUGGAGAGUGCUGGUGCAGGAGGAGCAUGAUUACAACAGCCGUCCAGCCCCGGUAUCCUCUCAGAUUCUGAACACAUCAACCCCUCCGGACAUGUCAUCUUUCCAGUUUAGGAUAGCAAAACAUCAAUGUAUGUGCCAAAGUAGCAUU
Sinocyclocheilus anshuiensis is the source of this 549-nucleotide long non-coding RNA. RefSeq lists it as uncharacterized. The transcript has 3 exons. The record is from RefSeq and is a predicted model, not a curated record. Lineage: Eukaryota; Metazoa; Chordata; Actinopteri; Cypriniformes; Cyprinidae.